GCUCUAGCCCCAAACACAAACAGUCGAACACGAACUGAAGCACAUACCUCGUUGGCUCCGCCUUCUUGUCUGACGAGUGCGCCUUCUCGUGGAGUCCGCUGCCGCCCUCCGAUCGACGCGCCUCCGCCUCGCCGUCGCCGUCGCCACCCCUCGCCUCCGCCUCGCCAAUACCGGAACCCUUGCCGCCGCGUGCGGCCGACCAUCGUCGACAGCUCGGGGACUGGGUUCGCUCGGCGAUCAUGGCGCUCGCUUCUCGCCUCGUUUCCAAGUCCCGGCAGGUGAGGAGCCCCCCCUCCAGAUCCACGCGCCUUCCCCCCUCUCGCCGCUCGUCAAAUGCUGUCCCGAAUUUCUGCUCGAUGGCGCUCAACAUUGGCCGUGGAGAUCGGGAAUUUUGCGUUUCGCAAAGUCGCCGCUUUCCGCUCGGGCGAUUGUUGAUGAUUGUCUGUUGCUCUUUGUUGCGGGGCGAUUUGAUUCGGCGAUUGUAUUGGGUCGAAUUGUUUUUUUAUGGUUCAAUUUUGAUGUUGGAUUGGGGCUAAGUUGUCGGCAUGACUUUGAGUUCUCUAGCUGGGCUGCUUCUGUUUCUUCGAAAUCUAUUUCUCUUUCUGGGUUUCUUUCUUUUAAAAUUUCUUUAGCCAGUUUAUUUAUUGUUUCAUACCCUGCUGCCCAAAAUUUAUUCUACUUGUUUGCUGGAGACAUGUUCUUUACCCGAUUUUUAGUUCAGUUUAAUAUCAAGUGAAAAAUAUAUGUUGUGUUUCGCAUGGGACUUCUUUGUAAAUGAACGAGGCCUCAUAGAUGGUAUAGGCUCUGUUUAUAGAUAAAAGCUGAAGCAUUAAAUGGAGAUAGAUUUAGCUGUUCAGCAAGGUUUUACUUAGAUAUGUUCACUCUUGUGUACUUAUCAGUUGAUAUUGGAAACAAAGAUAGUCUUUGUGUGGUCUUUGAAUCAUUGGCAAUUCUGGGUUUGCAUUGAUUACUUAUGAUAAAAUUGCAUGUGCUGUGUCUUUGCUUUCUGGAACACACGAGCGGCGAGCCUGUUUUUUAGUGGUAGGCUAGGCUUCAUUACGGUGGAUUUUGGUGAGGCUAAGCAGGCUGAACCAGGAAAUUUGGAGGAGACAGGUGAAAAGCAAACAUCUGAACAGGUGUGUAGCUUUUCCAGGAAGCCAUCAAGAAAUAAGAAUAUCAGGAAGCGGGAUGGUUGAAGAAGACGAUGAUGAAGAUUCCAAGACGGAGAGUUCAGUGUUACAUAAUCAGAAGAAACCUCAAAGGAAAGGCAAUAAGCUGUAUUUUUCAACUGGAUCCUCCAAGAGCUCUGUGUCUGCAGAAUCAACCUUUGAUUCUGAUAAGUAGAUUCUGAAGAAAGGAGAAGAUUGCAUAUUUUACUCUAGAAAGUAAAACCCUUUUCAGCAUAUUUACCGAGCUCACCAUACCUUAUGAAUUCGUGGGCAAAAAGUCCAGCUUUUCUUAUUUCCGAUUCUCUAGCAUCUUCUUUUCCAAUUGUAUGAAUGUAUUUCUUAAACAUUUACUUCUCUCCGA
Long non-coding RNA from Eucalyptus grandis, 1530 nucleotides. RefSeq lists it as uncharacterized. Lineage: Eukaryota; Viridiplantae; Streptophyta; Magnoliopsida; Myrtales; Myrtaceae. The transcript has 2 exons. The record is from RefSeq and is a predicted model, not a curated record.